This 603-nucleotide ribosomal RNA is filed under the name Streptococcus pneumoniae. Its description in RNAcentral is "partial 23S ribosomal RNA". It matches the Rfam family "Bacterial large subunit ribosomal RNA", at positions 550 to 1152 of the family's 2925-position model. The record is from RNAcentral. Lineage: Bacteria; Bacillati; Bacillota; Bacilli; Lactobacillales; Streptococcaceae.
CUGAAACCGUGUGCCUACAAGUAGUUAGAGCCCGUUAAUGGGUGAUAGCGUGCCUUUUGUAGAAUGAACCGGCGAGUUACGAUUGCAUGCAAGGUUAAGGUGAGAAGCCGGAGCCGCAGCGAAAGCGAGUCUGAAUAGGGCGAGUGAGUAUGUAGUUGUAGACCCGAAACCAGGUGAUCUACCCAUGUCCAGGGUGAAGGUAAGGUAACACUUACUGGAGGCCCGAACCCACGCACGUUGAAAAGUGCGGGGAUGAGGUGUGGGUAGCGGAGAAAUUCCAAUCGAACCUGGAGAUAGCUGGUUCUCUCCGAAAUAGCUUUAGGGCUAGCCUCAAGAUAGAGAAUCCUGGAGGUAGAGCACUGUUUGGACUAGGGGCCCAUCCCGGGUUACCGAAUUCAGACAAACUCCGAAUGCCAGUGAUUUAUGCUUGGGAGUCAGACUGCGAGUGAUAAGAUCCGUAGUCAAGAGGGAAACAGCCCAGACCACCAGCUAAGGUCCCCAAAUAUCCGUUAAGUGGAAAAGGAUGUGGCGUUGCUUAGACAACCAGGAUGUUGGCUUAGAAGCAGCCAUCAUUUAAAGAGUGCGUAAUAGCUCACUGGUCGA